RNAcentral lists this ribosomal RNA (609 nucleotides) under Bacillus sp. (in: firmicutes). RNAcentral's name for it is "bacterial SSU rRNA". It matches the Rfam family "Bacterial small subunit ribosomal RNA", at positions 62 to 652 of the family's 1533-position model. The record is from RNAcentral. Lineage: Bacteria; Bacillati; Bacillota; Bacilli; Caryophanales; Bacillaceae.
UCGAGCGAACCAAUAAGAAGCUUGCUUUUUGUUGGUUAGCGGCGGACGGGUGAGUAACACGUGGGUAACCUGCCUGUAAGACCGGGAUAACUCCGGGAAACCGGUGCUAAUACCGGAUAGAUUAUCUUUCCGCCUGGAGAGAUAAGGAAAGAUGGCUUUUGCCAUCACUUACAGAUGGGCCCGCGGCGCAUUAGCUAGUUGGUGAGGUAACGGCUCACCAAGGCGACGAUGCGUAGCCGACCUGAGAGGGUGAUCGGCCACACUGGGACUGAGACACGGCCCAGACUCCUACGGGAGGCAGCAGUAGGGAAUCUUCCGCAAUGGACGAAAGUCUGACGGAGCAACGCCGCGUGAGUGAAGAAGGUCUUCGGAUCGUAAAGCUCUGUUGUUAGGGAAGAACAAGUAUCGGAGGAAAUGCCGGUACCUUGACGGUACCUGACGAGAAAGCCACGGCUAACUACGUGCCAGCAGCCGCGGUAAUACGUAGGUGGCAAGCGUUGUCCGGAGUUAUUGGGCGUAAAGCGCGCGCAGGCGGUCCUUUAACUCUGAUGUGAAAUCUUGCCGCUCAACCGCAAGCGGUCAUUGGAAACUGGGGGACUUGAGUGCAGA